This 468-nucleotide ribosomal RNA is filed under the name uncultured bacterium. RNAcentral's name for it is "partial 16S ribosomal RNA". It matches the Rfam family "Bacterial small subunit ribosomal RNA", at positions 28 to 507 of the family's 1533-position model. The record is from RNAcentral.
GACGAACGCUGGCGGCGUGCUUAACACAUGCAAGUCGAACGGAAAGGCCCUGCUUUUGUGGGGUGCUCGAGUGGCGAACGGGUGAGUAACACGUGAGUAACCUGCCCUUGACUUUGGGAUAACUUCAGGAAACUGGGGCUACUACCGGAUAGGAGCUCCUGCUGCAUGGUGGGGGUUGGAAAGUUUCGGCGGUUGGGGAUGGACUCGCGGCUUAUCAGCUUGUUGGUGGGGUAGUGGCUUACCAAGGCUUUGACGGGUAGCCGGCCUGAGAGGGUGACCGGCCACAAUGGGACUGAGAUACGGCCCAGACUGCUACGGGGGGCAGCAGUGGGGAAUAUUGCACAAUGGGCGGAAGCCUGAUGCAGCAACGCCGCGUGCGGGAUGACGGCCUUCGGGUUGUAAACCGAUUUCGCCUGUGACGAAGCGUGAGUGACGGUAAUGGGUAAAGAAGCACCGGCUAACUACGUG